RNAcentral lists this ribosomal RNA (511 nucleotides) under Sympolemon sp. JP-2017. RNAcentral describes it as "partial 16S ribosomal RNA". It matches the Rfam family "Bacterial large subunit ribosomal RNA", at positions 1819 to 2600 of the family's 2925-position model. The record is from RNAcentral. Lineage: Eukaryota; Metazoa; Arthropoda; Insecta; Coleoptera; Staphylinidae.
GUCUUUUUGAUAAUAAUUUAAAGUCCAACCUGCCCAAUGAGGUUUUUAAUGGCCGCAGUAUUUUGACUGUGCAAAGGUAGCAUAAUCAUUAGUUUUUUAAUUGAAAGCUGGAAUGAAGGGUUAGACGAAAAAAUAACUGUCUUUAUUAUAAUUAUUUAGAAUUUUAUUAUUAAGUUAAAAAGCUUAAAUUAUUUUUAAAGACGAGAAGACCCUAUAGAGCUUUACUAUAAAUUAAUAAUUUUUUAAUUAGAAUAGUAAGAUAAAUUAUAAAUUUAUAGUUUAAUUGGGGUGAUUGAAAAAUUUAAUUAACUUUUUUUUUAUAAAAACAUAGAUUUAUGAUUUAUUGAUCCAUAUAUAAUGAUUAAAUGAAAAAGUUACCUUAGGGAUAACAGCGUAAUUUUUUUUGAGAGUUCAUAUUGAUAAAGAAGAUUGCGACCUCGAUGUUGGAUUAAAAUUAAUAUUAGGUGUAGAAGCUUAAUAAUUAGGUCUGUUCGACCUUUAAAAUUUUACA